CGACAUCAGCACGAGUGAUGGCGGCGUAUACCUGCGGGAAGGCGGCGGCGGCAUGAAGGUACAGGGGCAAGCAGCUGCGCGGCGCAGCCUGCUGGAGCACCUCCAAGACGUUGCGGCACUUGUUCUGCUCAAUACACAAGCAAAAUAAUGAGGAUAGCUAGCGUUUGGGGAUGGGCCAGGCGGCCAACAUGACGAGGUAAUGAUGGAGCUGCUUGUGCGCCGGCAGAAGUAGUGGGACUGCAUGGAUAUGGCCACACAGACACCCAGUUGGCCUGCAGGCUCUGGCAUCGAAGUUCUUCUCGCGCCCCGGGAGCACUGCGCUGCAGCUGCUUGCCCCAUCCGCCUCCACCACGCCGUCGGAUGUCGCCUCUGCAGGUGCACGCCGUCGCCACCCGUGUUGAUGCUGA
RNAcentral lists this microRNA precursor (407 nucleotides) under Oryza sativa (Asian cultivated rice). RNAcentral describes it as "miR5805 stem-loop (osa-MIR5805)". Lineage: Eukaryota; Viridiplantae; Streptophyta; Magnoliopsida; Poales; Poaceae. The record is from miRBase by way of RNAcentral.